This 549-nucleotide ribosomal RNA is filed under the name uncultured Glomeromycotina. Its description in RNAcentral is "SSU rRNA". It matches the Rfam family "Eukaryotic small subunit ribosomal RNA", at positions 548 to 1098 of the family's 1831-position model. Lineage: Eukaryota; Fungi; Glomeromycota. The record is from RNAcentral.
UUGGAGGGCAAGUCUGGUGCCAGCAGCCGCGGUAAUUCCAGCUCCAAUAGCGUAUAUUAAAGUUGUUGCAGUUAAAAAGCUCGUAGUUGAAUUUCGGGAUCAAUAUGUCGGUCGUGCCUUCGGUACGUACUGGCAUCAUUGGUUUCUCCCUUCUGACAAACCAUGAUGUCAUUAAUUUGGUGUUAUGGGGAGUUAGGACUGUUACUUUGAAAAAAUUAGAGUGUUUAAAGCAGGCAUUAGCUUGAAUACAAUAGCAUGGAAUAAUGAAAUAGGACGUUUGACCCUAUUUUGUUGGUUUCUAGGAUCGACGUAAUGAUUAAUAGGGAUAGUUGGGGGCAUUAGUAUUCAAUUGUCAGAGGUGAAAUUCUUGGAUUUAUUGAAGACUAACUACUGCGAAAGCAUUUGCCAAGGAUGUUUUCAUUAAUCAAGAACGAAAGUUAGGGGAUCGAAGACGAUCAGAUACCGUCGUAGUCUUAACCAUAAACUAUGCCGACUAGGGAUCGGAUGAUGUUAAUUUUUUAAUGACUCAUUCGGCGCCUUACGGGAAAC